AUAGAAUAAAUAUGCUCCAUUACAUUCAUAUACCAUAACUCAUCCAGCCAUUCUCACUGAUGAGCAUCCCCCUCAAUUUCCAGUUCCUUGCCACUACAAAAAGGGCUGCCACAAACAUUUAACAUCGUCUCUGGGGGCUGAAUGCUGUGAUGAUCCUCAUUGGACAUCUUCCUCCUCUGUAACAUCAGGAUAAAGCCAUCUACCAGCACGAUUGUUUGAAGAAUUAAAUGGGAUAUGGUUUGUAAUAUGAGUAGUGUAGCAACUGACACAGAGGAGAUGCCAUGUGAAUGCUUAUUCUCCUUCUACAGGUGAGCUGAGGCAGAUGGAAGUUCUUUGACUGGUCUAAGAUCACACCGUUAGUAAAGGGAUUUAUUUUAUGAGCACAAACCCACUUGUGAAAAGUAAAAGGAAGUAACUGUUACAAAAUAUUGAUGCUCUGGGGCAGAUCGAGGACUGAGCAGCUAUGGGUCCAGAAAGAGAUACAAAAACAAGACCUGAAGGACAAGAAAGGCCUCGGGGAAGUGCAGGAUGAUGAAGAAACUGAGGCACAGGAAGGUUAUGAUUCAUCAAACAUCAUAAAGGUAAUAAAUGCCCAAGGCUAGAUUUGG
Long non-coding RNA from Sarcophilus harrisii (Tasmanian devil), 608 nucleotides. RefSeq lists it as uncharacterized. NCBI's taxonomy places the organism in Eukaryota, Metazoa, Chordata, Mammalia, Dasyuromorphia, Dasyuridae. The transcript has 4 exons. The record is from RefSeq and is a predicted model, not a curated record.